Molecule: ribosomal RNA, 497 nt
Filed under: uncultured bacterium
Lineage: Bacteria
Description: partial 16S ribosomal RNA
Rfam family: Bacterial small subunit ribosomal RNA
Source: RNAcentral
GAUGAACGCUGGCGGCGUGCCUAAUACAUGCAAGUCGAGCGAACGGACGAGAAGCUUGCUUCUCUGAUGUUAGCGGCGGACGGGUGAGUAACACGUGGAUACCCUACCUAUAAGACUGGGAUAACUUCGGGAAACCGGAGCUAAUACCGGAUAAUAUUUUGAACCGCAUGGUUCAAAAGUGAAAGACGGUCUUGCUGUCACUUAUAGAUGGAUCCGCGCUGCAUUAGCUAGUUGGUAAGGUAACGGCUUACCAAGGCAACGAUGCGUAGCCGACCUGAGAGGGUGAUCGGCCACACUGGAACUGAGACACGGUCCAGACUCCUACGGGAGGCAGCAGUAGGGAAUCUUCCGCAAUGGGCGAAAGCCUGACGGAGCAACGCCGCGUGAGUGAUGAAGGUCUUCGGAUCGUAAAACUCUGUUAUUAGGGAAGAACAUAUGUGUAAGUAACUGUGCACAUCUUGACGGUACCUAAUCAGAAGGCAACGGCUAACUACGUG